AAUUGGAGGGCAAGUCUGGUGCCAGCAGCCGCGGUAAUUCCAGCUCCAAUAGCGUAUAUUAAAGUUGUUGCAGUUAAAAAGCUCGUAGUUGAAUUUCGGGAUUGACACAUCGGUCGUGCCUUAAGGGGUAUGAACUGGUGUAGCCAAUUUCUCACCUUCUGGAGAACGGCGAUGCCCUUAAUUGGGUGUCGCGGGGAACCAGGACCUUUACUUUGAAAAAAUUAGAGUGUUUAAAGCAGGCAUUUUGCUUGAAUACAUUAGCAUGGAAUAAUAAAAUAGGACGGCAUGAUUCUAUUUUGUUGGUUUCUAGGAUCACCGUAAUGAUUAAUAGGGAUAGUUGGGGGCAUUAGUAUUCAAUUGUCAGAGGUGAAAUUCUUGGAUUUAUUGAAGACUAACUACUGCGAAAGCAUUUGCCAAGGAUGUUUUCAUUAAUCAAGAACGAAAGUUAGGGGAUCGAAGACGAUCAGAUACCGUCGUAGUCUUAACCAUAAACUAUGCCGACUAGGAAUCAGACGAUGUUAAUUUUUUAAUGACUCGUUUGGCACCUUACGGGAAACCAAAGUGU
Molecule: ribosomal RNA, 565 nt
Filed under: uncultured Glomus
Lineage: Eukaryota; Fungi; Glomeromycota; Glomeromycetes; Glomerales; Glomeraceae
Description: SSU rRNA
Rfam family: Eukaryotic small subunit ribosomal RNA
Source: RNAcentral